RNAcentral lists this ribosomal RNA (252 nucleotides) under uncultured bacterium. RNAcentral's name for it is "partial 16S ribosomal RNA". It matches the Rfam family "Bacterial small subunit ribosomal RNA", at positions 525 to 776 of the family's 1533-position model. The record is from RNAcentral.
ACAGAGGGUGCGAGCGUUAAUCGGAAUUACUGGGCGUAAAGGGUGCGUAGGUGGUUGAAUUAGUUAGGUGUGAAAUUCCUGGGCUUAACCUGGGGACUGCGCCUAAUACUGUUUAGCUAGAGUAUUGUAGAGGAAAGUGGAAUUUCCGGUGUAGCGGUGAAAUGCGUAGAUAUCGGAAGGAACAUCAGUGGCGAAGGCGACUUUCUGGACAAAUACUGACACUGAGGCACGAAAGCAUGGGGAGCAAACAGG